UACAGAGGUGGCAAGCGUUGUUCGGAAUUACUGGGCGUAAAGGGCGCGUAGGCGGCCUUCUAAGUCAGACGUGAAAUCCCCAGGCUUAACUUGGGAACUGCGUCUGAUACUGGGAGGCUUGAGUGCGGGAGAGGGAUGUGGAAUUCCAGGUGUAGCGGUGAAAUGCGAGAUAUCUGGAGGAACACCGGUGGCGAAGGCGGCAUCCUGGACCGACACUGACGCUGAGGCGCGAAAGCUAGGGGAGCAAACGGG
RNAcentral lists this ribosomal RNA (252 nucleotides) under uncultured bacterium. RNAcentral describes it as "partial 16S ribosomal RNA". It matches the Rfam family "Bacterial small subunit ribosomal RNA", at positions 524 to 776 of the family's 1533-position model. The record is from RNAcentral.